This 253-nucleotide ribosomal RNA is filed under the name uncultured bacterium. RNAcentral describes it as "partial 16S ribosomal RNA". It matches the Rfam family "Bacterial small subunit ribosomal RNA", at positions 524 to 776 of the family's 1533-position model. The record is from RNAcentral.
UACGGGGGGGGCAAGCGUUGUUCGGAAUUACUGGGCGUAAAGGGCUCGUAGGCGGCCAACUAAGUCAGACGUGAAAUCCCCAGGCUUAACCUGGGAACUGCAUUCGAGACUGCAUUGCUAGAGUAUGGGAGAGGGAAGUGGAAUUUCCGGUGUAGCGGUGAAAUGCGUAGAUAUCGGAAGGAACAUCAGUGGCGAAAGCGACUUCCUGGACCAAUACUGACGCUCAUGUGCGAAAGCGUGGGGAGCAAACAGG